GGGAAGAGCAAGGGAGAGGAGGAAAAGAUAAAGAGAGAGGAGAGGCGGAAAAGAGAGAGAGCAAGGGGAGGAGGAGAGGAGAGAAGUGAGGAGGGGACGGGAGAGCAGGAAAGCAGAGGAGAGGGGAGGGGAGAGAGGGAAGGAGAGGAGGCUGAAAUAUAAGAAACCUCACAGGUAAACAAUGUUGGAAAAAGUUGUUCAUCAGAAAAUUAAUGUGUCGUAUUGCUUGUCUCCACUACUCUUGUACACUCUCUUGCACCAAAGAAGAGAUGCCUGGGAACUACAUUUUCCAUUGUCCCUUGGUAAAAGUUUCAGGUUAGAUUGAGAAACGUUGGGCACAAUUUGGAAGACAGAAGAGAAGACAUGAUUUUUCCACUGCACUUGUGAGAAGACACAUAGGCACUAAGCAAGGCAAUGGGGUACCAUUAGCUCACAGUAGACAAAGGAAGUAGAAGUUUCUAACAUUAGUGCCUUUUCUUUGGAAUGUAAACUAACCAUCUCCUCUGAGAAGGUAAGAGGGUCUAUAUAGUUUCACUGCAAUGGAUUAUAAUAACCAUUUCCUGGGACAUAAAUCUAUAAAUCAUUACGAAGUAAUACACAAUCUCUAGCUUACAGGGCACAUACAAUCAAUUAUUUUUUCUUUAUUUUGAAUUGACAAGUAUAAACUCUCUAUGUUUAUGGUGUACAUGAUGUUUUGAUAUACGCAUACCUUGUGAAAUGGCUAAAUUAAACUAUUUAACACAUCCAAUAUAUGCAUUACCUCACAUAAUUUUUUCUGGUGAGAACACUUGAAAUACACCCUUUUAGAAAUAUAUCUAUAAGAUAUUGUUAUUAACUGUAGUCAGCAUGAGGUCAAUAGAUUUCUUGAACUUGUUCGUCCUAACUGAAUUUUUUGUGUUCUUGCCCAGUGCUCUUUGACAGAAAUCCCAGAUCAUGAACAUACAUGAAAAUAUUCAUGGAGAAUUGUCUCCUACCAAAUUUUAUGGAAAACUCAUAUUUCAAAAAAAGACACGUCUAAGAAUGAGGUAUCAUAUUCUGCUAGAGAUGCAUCUGAUAUAUUUUUGUGAAGUGUGGAAGAUACAUCUUCUUCAGUUUGUGCCAUGACACUCUUACUGUCAUGUAAUAAACACACAUACAUUAUUAUUUAAUUUCUUUUCUGACUUCCUAGUGUUAAAAAAAUGUAAACUGAGUCAAGAGAAAUGUCUGCCCUCAUAUAAUGAUGACACAAUGCCAG
This 1234-nucleotide long non-coding RNA is filed under the name Pan troglodytes (chimpanzee). RNAcentral's name for it is "lncRNA (ENSPTRG00000054500.1)". Lineage: Eukaryota; Metazoa; Chordata; Mammalia; Primates; Hominidae. The record is from RNAcentral.